UACGUAGGGGGCAAGCGUUGUCCGGAAUCAUUGGGCGUAAAGGGCGCGUAGGUGGCGGGACAAGCGUGCGGUGAAAGCUCGGGGCUCAACCCCGAGUCGGCCGUGCGAACUGUUUUGCUUGAGCACUGUAGAGGCAGGCGGAAUUCCGGGUGUAGCGGUGGAAUGCGUAGAGAUCCGGAAGAACACCGGUGGCGAAGGCGGCCUGCUGGGCAGUAGCUGACACUGAGGCGCGACAGCGUGGGGAGCAACAGG
Molecule: ribosomal RNA, 252 nt
Filed under: uncultured bacterium
Lineage: Bacteria
Description: partial 16S ribosomal RNA
Rfam family: Bacterial small subunit ribosomal RNA
Source: RNAcentral